UACGUAGGGGGCAAGCGUUGUCCGGAAUUAUUGGGCGUAAAGAGCGCGUAGGCGGUCUGAUAAGUCGGUUGUGAAAGUCGGGGGCUCAACCCUCGGAUGCCGAUCGAUACUGUCAGACUAGAGUCCGGAAGAGGCGAGUGGAAUUCCUGGUGUAGCGGUGAAAUGCGCAGAUAUCAGGAGGAACACCAAUGGCGAAGGCAGCUCGCUGGAACGGUACUGACGCUGAGGCGCGAAAGCUAGGGGAGCGAACAGG
Molecule: ribosomal RNA, 253 nt
Filed under: uncultured bacterium
Lineage: Bacteria
Description: partial 16S ribosomal RNA
Rfam family: Bacterial small subunit ribosomal RNA
Source: RNAcentral